RNAcentral lists this ribosomal RNA (805 nucleotides) under Cryptosporidium sp. deer genotype. RNAcentral's name for it is "SSU rRNA". It matches the Rfam family "Eukaryotic small subunit ribosomal RNA", at positions 208 to 1072 of the family's 1831-position model. The record is from RNAcentral. Lineage: Eukaryota; Apicomplexa; Conoidasida; Eucoccidiorida; Cryptosporidiidae.
UAUUAGAUAAAGAACCAAUAUUUUUGGUGACUCAUAAUAACUUUACGGAUCACAUUAUGUGACAUAUCAUUCAAGUUUCUGACCUAUCAGCUUUAGACGGUAGGGUAUUGGCCUACCGUGGCUAUGACGGGUAACGGGGAAUUAGGGUUCGAUUCCGGAGAGGGAGCCUGAGAAACGGCUACCACAUCUAAGGAAGGCAGCAGGCGCGCAAAUUACCCAAUCCUAAUACAGGGAGGUAGUGACAAGAAAUAACAAUACAGGACCUUACGGUUUUGUAAUUGGAAUGAGUUAAGUAUAAACCCCUUAACAAGUAUCAAUUGGAGGGCAAGUCUGGUGCCAGCAGCCGCGGUAAUUCCAGCUCCAAUAGCGUAUAUUAAAGUUGUUGCAGUUAAAAAGCUCGUAGUUAAUUUUCUGUUAAUUUUUAUAUACAAUACUACGGUAUUUAUAUAAUAUUAACAUAAUUCAUAUUACUUUUUAGUAUAUGAAACUUUACUUUGAGAAAAUUAGAGUGCUUAAAGCAGGCUAUUGCCUUGAAUACUCCAGCAUGGAAUAAUAUUAAGGAUUUUUAUUCUUCUUAUUGGUUCUAGAAUAAAAAUAAUGAUUAAUAGGGACAGUUGGGGGCAUUUGUAUUUAACAGUCAGAGGUGAAAUUCUUAGAUUUGUUAAAGACAAACUACUGCGAAAGCAUUUGCCAAGGAUGUUUUCAUUAAUCAAGAACGAAAGUUAGGGGAUCGAAGACGAUCAGAUACCGUCGUAGUCUUAACCAUAAACUAUGCCAACUAGAGAUUGGAGGUUGUUCCUUACUC